AGCUCCAAUAGCGUAUAUUAAAGUUGUUGCAGUUAAAAGCUCGUAGUUGGACCUCUGGUCGGAGCAAUGAGGCCACCCCGCAAGGGGCGAGCUCUCGGUGCCUCCGGCCAUCCUUGGGAAGAGCGGCCCUGGCAUUAGGUUGUCGGGGUCGGGAUUCCCAUCGUUUACUGUGAAAAAUUAGAGUGUUCAAGGCAGGCCUAGCGCCGUGAAUACAUUAGCAUGGAAUAAUGAGACAGGACCUUGGCGGUCUAUUUUGUUGGUUUGCGCGCCAAGGUAAUGAUUAAUAGGGAUAGUUGGGGGUAUUCGUAUUCAAUUGUCAGAGGUGAAAUUCUUGGAUUUAUGGAAGACGAACUACUGCGAAAGCAUUUACCAAGGAUGUUUUCA
This 384-nucleotide ribosomal RNA is filed under the name uncultured eukaryote. RNAcentral's name for it is "SSU rRNA". It matches the Rfam family "Eukaryotic small subunit ribosomal RNA", at positions 587 to 972 of the family's 1831-position model. The record is from RNAcentral.